UGGAUUAGCGGCGGACGGGUGAGUAGCACGUGAGUAACCUGCCUUAGACAUUGGGAUAGCCUCGGGAAACCGGGAUUAAUACCAAAUAAAAUCAUAAUGACACAUGUCAUAACGAUCAAAACUCCGGUGGUCUAAGAUGGACUCGCGUCCCAUUAGCUAGUUGGUAGAGUAAAAGCCUACCAAGGCGACGAUGGGUAGCCGGCCUGAGAGGGUGAACGGCCACAUUGGAACUGAGAAACGGUCCAA
This 246-nucleotide ribosomal RNA is filed under the name uncultured Eubacteriales bacterium. RNAcentral's name for it is "uncultured Clostridiales bacterium partial 16S ribosomal RNA". It matches the Rfam family "Bacterial small subunit ribosomal RNA", at positions 88 to 334 of the family's 1533-position model. The record is from RNAcentral. Lineage: Bacteria; Bacillati; Bacillota; Clostridia; Eubacteriales.